This 264-nucleotide ribosomal RNA is filed under the name uncultured archaeon. Its description in RNAcentral is "partial 16S ribosomal RNA". It matches the Rfam family "Archaeal small subunit ribosomal RNA", at positions 718 to 982 of the family's 1478-position model. The record is from RNAcentral.
AGUCACUGACAUUAGAUACCCCCGUAGUCCAGGGUGUAAACGCUGCAGACUUGGUGUUGGAGGCCCUUUGGGGGCAUUCAGUGCCGGAGAGAAGUUGUUAAGUCUGCUACUUGGGGGGUACGUCCGCAAGGAUGAAACUUAAAGGAAUUGGCGGGGGAGCACCGCAACGGGAGGAGCGUGCGGUUUAAUUGGAUUCAACACCGUAAACUCACCAGGGAAGACUGUUACAUGAAGGCCGAGAUGAAGACUCUGCUAGAUUUUCAG